RNAcentral lists this ribosomal RNA (447 nucleotides) under uncultured bacterium. RNAcentral describes it as "partial 16S ribosomal RNA". It matches the Rfam family "Bacterial small subunit ribosomal RNA", at positions 29 to 523 of the family's 1533-position model. The record is from RNAcentral.
AGCGAACGCUGGCGGCAGGCCUAACACAUGCAAGUCGAACGAUCCUUCGGGAUAGUGGCGGACGGGUGCGUAACGCGUGGGAAUAUGCCCUUGACUGCGGAACAACGUCGGGAAACUGACGCUAAUACCGCAUAAUGUCUUCGGGCCAAAGAUUUAUCGGUCAAGGAUUAGCCCGCGUCUGAUUAGCUAGUUGGUGAGGUAACGGCUCACCAAGGCGACGAUCAGUAGGGGGUCUGAGAGGAUGAUCCCCCACACUGGGACUGAGACACGGCCCAGACUCCUACGGGAGGCAGCAGUGAGGAAUAUUGGACAAUGGGCGCAAGCCUGAUCCAGCCAUGCCGCGUGAGUGACGAAGGCCUUCGGGUUGUAAAGCUCUUUCAGAUGCGAAGAUAAUGACGGUAACAUCAGAAGAAGCCCCGGCUAAAUUCGUGCCAGCCGCCGCAGUAA